GCCUUCGUGGUGUAGUGGUCUGCAUGCUAGACGCGUAACCGAGAGGUCCGUGGUUCGAUUCCCAGCGAAGGCG
RNAcentral lists this transfer RNA (73 nucleotides) under Stegodyphus mimosarum. It matches the Rfam family "tRNA". Rfam says of the family: Transfer RNA (tRNA) molecules are approximately 80 nucleotides in length. Their secondary structure includes four short double-helical elements and three loops (D, anti-codon, and T loops). Further hydrogen bonds mediate the characteristic L-shaped molecular structure. tRNAs have two regions of fundamental functional importance: the anti-codon, which is responsible for specific mRNA codon recognition, and the 3' end, to which the tRNAs corresponding amino acid is attached (by aminoacyl-tRNA synthetases). tRNAs cope with the degeneracy of the genetic code in two manners: having more than one tRNA (with a specific anti-codon) for a particular amino acid; and 'wobble' base-pairing, i.e. permitting non-standard base-pairing at the 3rd anti-codon position. The record is from Rfam by way of RNAcentral. Lineage: Eukaryota; Metazoa; Arthropoda; Arachnida; Araneae; Eresidae.